Paramormyrops kingsleyae is the source of this 6821-nucleotide non-coding RNA. The record is from RefSeq and is a predicted model, not a curated record. NCBI's taxonomy places the organism in Eukaryota, Metazoa, Chordata, Actinopteri, Osteoglossiformes, Mormyridae.
AAUAAAGCUCAGGGCUGGAGUACGAGCUGGCAAGACAGCAGUAGCUGUGGGCAAGCAGGCUGGCAAGGCAAAGGCCACAGGGACGGGCAAUGAGGUGAAGGCCACAGUCUGCAAACAGAACACAGCCAGGGAACUGGGUGGCAAGAAGAGCAGAACCAGGGCUUUCAGGAUCCAGCAAAGCAGGGCAUUUACAGCAGAGCGGCAUCUCUGGAGGCGGGCAGAGCAGGCCUCACCAGUGAACAGUCACAGAAACAGUCUACCAUUUAUGCCCCCAUUAGCAGUGGUUGGCGCUCAUGGUGCAUUAAGAUGUCUGACAUAGCACCAGGGACACGCGGUGAGGUUUCCACCCAUUUCUCAGCGUCGAGUAGGUGGUUGGUGCUCUCCACCAACUCCAUCUCCUCUGUCUCUGCCACAUGGACUAACUCCAGUAGCCAGUCCUCCAGCUGCCUGAGGUGAUCCUCCAGCUCCGGAUCACUCCCACCUCUCUUUCCUCGGCAUAGGUCCUGAUAUCUGCCCCAAAGAGCAAACCAGGUAGGAAUGGGAACACUCACCUGGAGCACGGCAGUGGGGUUUGGGGUUAGGAGCAUGGGCUAUCCUCUUUCCCACCAUAGGAGGACCAGUAAGGCAUCCACUUCAGUGGAGCUAUUCGUGGGCCUGCAGUCUCCUCAGGUCCAUCCUCCUCUGGCUCUUCCAGGUCACUGUCACUCGGGGGGGGGGGGGGGGUCAAUGAGAGGGCUAUCCACAAACCACUGGGGUGUGGACACUAGAACACUGAGGGGAGGCUGGAAGCAGGCUGUAAUAUGGAGAGUGCUAGGCUCGCACAGAAAGCUGCUGGGCAGCUUGAGGAGUCCAGUCAUUCAGUCACAUCAAGGACAAGGAGGCAAAGGCAGGCAGGGGGAAAACCCAAAAGAGCACACUGGGGAGUACAUGCAGGCAGCAACAUGAAUGACUGGACUGGGGAUUAUAGGACUGAAGGACGCCUUAUACAGGGCACGUAAGGGAGCAGACGAGAGGCACCUGGGGUGAUCCACACGAGGGCUGCAACGAGAGGUAAGAUUAAACAGGCAACAGGUGUGGCUUGUUAGAGCUACACAAGGGAGAGAAUGAGUGGGAAGGGAUGCAGGGUGUGACAAUGGUGGCUAUCAGAGAGUGUGACCUCCCUGCUGAGACUGAUUGGUACAUCGCAGUUAUGAAAUCUAAUACAAAAAAUACAUUUUUGACUGCUGUAUUACUGCUUUUUCCUGGAAAUUUAUGGGGUCACAACAUCUGAUGGCAGCUAUAUCAAAUAGUGUCCCUUCUGAUCUACAGAAAUGGUCUAUUUUUUUGGUCACUAAACCUUUUUGUCGUGGUCUUGCUUGGCCCUAAACAUAAGGCUUGAACAUACUUCUGUGUUUGUGUGAUUUGAAAAUACUUGUAAAAAUUUUUUAUAAACUAUUUGAAAUACACCAAUCAUUCCCUGCUCUAUCAGCAUUGCUUCCAAAUUAAAAGUGUGCAUUCAACAUACAUAAGCAUUCUUAAGUAUUUUAUAGUUCAAUAUAUUACAAUAAUUAAAAACUUAAGAAGCAAAAAUAGUUUUUUUUCCAUUUGUUUUAGCUUAUUAUAUUUACUUUAAAAUACUAAAUUUAUAAGUGAUAUGUGAAGUCAGAAUUUGUAAUAGCUGCCAUCAGAUGUAUAAUCGUAUAAAAAUCUGAUACAAUGUGAAGACAACAUUAGAAGUGUGUAAAAACGGUGAACAUGUGGAUGUGCGUGGGUGCAGCAGACCGACAGCUGGUGCAGUUGCUAGGCAAUAAGGUAGGCUUUGUUUUUCUGCUACCAGUCAUAUAUAAGCAUAGACCAGGCCAGUCGUCACCAUCUUACCCGUUUUAAACCAUUUACGGACACAGGAUGUAUAUACAAAUAUGAUCGAGAAGAAAAAAGAACUGUGGUAGAAACAAAAAAAAGAAAGAAAAAAAAAUGGGACAACAUGUAGUGAAAUGUAACCCUGGUCACUCCAAGCAGCAGGGCCUGAUAAGAGAAUGAUAAAAUAUAUAAAAAUAACAAUACAAAAUAAAAAAUAUAUGAAAAAUGUUCAGCUGUACAUAAUCUAUACCUGAGUAAUAAGGUAAAAGUGAUUGUGCUGUGCAAUAUAAGUGCAAUGUGCAAGAGACCUGAGACAUGUACCGACAAUUUGGAUAGUAUGAACUGAAUGUAAACAGUACUCAUAGGAUUAUGAGCACUCGUACACAGUAUGCAGAGAGUGAGGCCUGUGUUACAGUCACUGAAGAGUCACUGUAGAAGCCAGUGGAAGACCUAGGGGCACUGAGACUUGUCCUGGUUUAGGAGCCUGGGGAAAAAAAAGCUCCUCCUUGACCUUUCAGUUUUGGGCAUAAGGCUGUGGAACCGUUUGCCUGAGUUCAGCAGGCAAAACAAAGAGUUAUUGGGGUGGGAUGGGUCCUUGAAGAUUUUUGUUGCUCUGGUCCUACGGCGGCUGUUGUAAAUGCCUUGUAGCUCAGCUGCUCUAACCACCCUCUGCAGUGCUUUCUGGUCCUGGACAAAGCAGUUCCCGAACCAUGAUGUAAUGCUCAUGGUCAGUAUGCUCUAUACAGCAGCCAAGUAGAAGGCCUUAAGGACAACAGGAGAGAACUUAAACCUCCUCAGCUGCCUCAGAUGGUAGAGCUGCUGCCUCUUCUUGCUGACUAGAGCACGUGUGUGUGUGUGGACCAGGUGAGGUCCUCCUGGAGAUGGACACUGAGUGUUCACCCUCUCCACUAUAGCACCGUUGAUGUUGACAGGUGGGUAAGAGCCACAAAACGACAGCAAAUGACAAAAUGCAUUUCUCAGAAUCAAUUUCGUCCAUGAAAUGACUAUCAUUUGUAUUUUUCUACAAAAUGACGUUCUUCUUUCCACAAAAUGCGAAGUACUGAUAUCAAUUCUGUGCACAAAAUGAAACAUUCCUUUUGAUUUCUGUGCAGGAAAGAAAAUCUUUCUGCUUUUGUGGACAGAAUGCAGAAAGGCAUUUCUUGAUUUAAUAAAUAAAUAAUUUUUUUUGUGGCACACAAUGUAUUUUUGUACAUGAAAAUGAGCGCUUGACAUUUGGCGCCCCAUACCUGACACUCUCCUGCACCAUGUCUCCCUCACAAACACAUCCAAGCUUUCCGGAAAGAGAAACAGCACACAUAACAUAGCGACUAGGUGGCCUUCCUCUGGAGACCCAUAGAAGUACUGUAAAUAUUGGAGAUUUACUAAAUCUCCUCUUGGUAAUAAAUAGGACUUUCUGCCAGCACUACCUAUGCACUAAACGAUUCUGAGUUUUUCGUAACUGAAUAACUUACUUUAUGGCGUUUUCCAAAUAAAUCCCAGAUCUGGCCCGAUUUUGAUUGGCUUCUUAUUCAUUCUUAUUCCGUAACUGCAAACACAGUGGAUGAGAAUUUACACAAACACAAUUUACUGCUGUGUUAUCAGCUUUACUAUUUGUGCUAUGCCGAUAACUAACCAAGCUAGUUACAGUUUGCGUAAUUAAAUAAGAUAAUCUAUAUGAAACUUAAUCGACAUGAGACGACUGAAUUCCACAAUGUCACUUUAACUGAUUAACUGUUGGUUAUCAGGUCUUCAAUGAGUUAAGUUUACAUACAAAGUCACACCAUGAUUCUGCCCUCACCACUCUCUUUACUCUUGGGUCUAGAAGUGAGCGUCUGCCUGCCGGAGCGGGAGUAGUGAUGGAAAACUGCAAAAAAAAAAAAAAAAAAAAACAGCGAUGUAAUGUGUCAGGCACGGGCGAGAAGGGAGACAAAGAUCCAAGAAUGCAGGGAAAACGAGACUUUAAUUAAGUCGACGGAGGACCAGCAAAGAAAGGGAAUGGCUCCGCACAGCGAAGGAGUGCUGUCUCCUUAGCUAGAGCGCUGACAGAGAGCGCUGUGGGCGAGGGUGCCAUCGCAAGUGCUGAAAGCCGAUGGUAAGGUACAGAAGGGGCGCGCAGGAAUCGGGGUCGUUGUCCGUAAGCAGGGCUGAGGGUCCCUCGUCAUCCACCGGAGGCAGACUGUCCUCGGAGGCGUCAGAAACUGGUCGUAACGGGCUGUCCUUGACAGGUUUGAGGAGAGAUACGUGAAACGUGGGACAUAUCCUGUACAUGCGGGGAAGUUGCAACCUCACCGUUACUGGUCCUACUCUCCUCAGGAUCCGGAAUGGUCCGAUAUAACGGGCAGUGAGCUUCCUACACCCUGGAAUCUGAAGGUUCUUCGUUGACAGCCACACACACAGCCCAGUUCUGUAGGGAAAGCCAGAUAAGCGGUGACGAUCAGCCUGAGCCUUAUGUCGAUCUGCCUGAGUACGGAGGGCCGUUUGGAUCUGACACCAGGCUCGCUUGCUGUCUUGGUACCAGGUCUCCACACGUGGCACUGCUCCCGGUGGAGAAUCCCAGGGGAACAGGGGAGGCUGGAAUCCUAGCACGCAUUGGAAAGGAGUCAAUUUGGUAACCGGACUCACCUGAGAGUUAAGAGAAUAUUCCACCCAAAUCAGAUGGGAGGACCAGCCUGCCGGAUCGGUCCUGCACAGCAGGCGGAGGGCUUUGGAUACCUCCUGGUUAGUGCGUUCGGCUAAUCCAUUAGCCUGGGGAUGGUAAGCAGAGGUAAGACUGAGCGAUACCCAUAGCUUAGAACAGAACUCCCGAAACACUCUGGACAUGAACUGAGGUCCUCGAUCUGACACGAGGUCCUCAGGUAUGCCUGUAAAACGGAAGAGCUCGUUAAGAUUUCAGCGAUUUCAGGACUUAAGGUACGUGACUUACAUCUAGCACAAUCAGGACAGCUGUCUACAAAGGUUUGGACUUGUUGCCGCCAACCGGGCCACCAAUACCGACGGGCAACAAGAAGCCGGGUCGAGGAUACCCCGGGAUGCCCCGUUCCAGGCUGGGCAUGAAUCCAACGGAGUAAAUCCUGUCGAUGAGAAGGUGAUGGAUGAAACAAAACACGAAGGAUGCAGGACUGGGUAGGUGCAUUCCGUACUUUCCGGGGGAUCGAACUGUCUGGACAGAUUGUCGCCUUUCACGUUCUUCUUACCAGGCAGGUAACUGACACGGAAUGUGAAGCGAGCAAACCACUGAGCCCAGCGAGCUUGACAAGAGAAGUCAGCUUGUUCGAGAAGUAUGCACAAGGAUGCCGCCGUCCCGUCUCAGGAUCCCGCUGGAUUAGGAUGGCCCCCACUCCAGCCUCGGACGCGUCCACUUCCACCUCGAAAGGGAGCUCAGGUCGCGGCUGCUUCAGCACCGGGGCCAUGCAGAACCCUUGUUUUAACCGGGUAAAGGCUUGAUCGUCCUCAGGGAUCCAGAGAAGUCGAGCAGGUUUCCCAUGAGUAAGCGUGGUGAGAGGGGCAGCAAUCCUGCUGAAAUUCCGAAUGAAUCUUCGAUAGAAAUUGGCAAAUCCGAGAAAGCGCUGUAGUUCCUUGAGGGUUCUGGGCUGCGGCCACUCCUGUAUUGCCGUGAUCUUUUGAUCAUCCAUAGCAACAACACCGGGUUGGAUGACGUACCCCAAGAAUUUCACUGAGCUCUGGUGAAACUCGCACUUCUCCCCGUUAAUGUAGAGGUUAUGUUCUCUCAGCCGUUGUAACACUUGCGUGAUGCACGUGAACCUGCUUAGAAGGUGAAUAAAUCAGAAUGUCGUCGAUGUAAACCACCACAAACUUGUACAACAUGUCAUGGAACACUCCAUUCAUAAAGGAUUGAAAGAUAGAGGGGCUAUUAACCAACCCAUAAGGCAUCACGAGGUACUCAUACUGCCUCCUACUGGUGAUGAAAGACGUCUUCCAUUCAUCCCCAUCUCGGAUCCUCACCAGGUUAUAAGCGCUGCGCAAGUCCAGCUUUGUGAAAAUCAACGCCUCUCGGAGCUGUUCUAAGGCGGAGGGGAUUAACGGGAGUGAUUCUCUCCGCUUAAUUGUGACGGCAUUCAGGGCUCGGUAGUCCACCACUGGGCGCAGCCCCCCAUCUUUCUUCUUAAUGAAGAAGAAGCCAGCCAUCACUGGAGAGGUGGAGGGCUGAAUUAUUCCCUGCUUAAGUCCCUCGCGGAUGUAGGUCUCCAAAGAUUCCUCCUCCUGUAACGAAACAGGGUACAGUCUGCCACGGGGUAAGGUAGCGCCAUCUAAAAGAUCAAUGGAACAAUCGUAAUCCCGAUGAGGAGGAAUUUUAAAUGUCUUUUUCUUACUAAACACCUCCUUGAAGUCUUGGUACUCCACAGGAAUAACAUCCAGGUUCUCCGGUUCGGGGCUUUCUAUUCCUGUAGCUUUACAAGGAUGAGCCAUGCAAUCCUGUCGACACUGUUCUGACCACGCUACAAUCUCCCCGGUCCGCCACUCGAGGUGAGGGUUAUGAAGAAGUUCCGGGAUCGCUCUGCUUAUAAAAGAGGUUAAUUGUCCGUCGAUGAGCUGCACCUGUCGAGCCCCGCCCCCGUGGGUGUGACAUAAUGAAAUAUGUUAAUAUUUUAAUUUAAUUUAAUUUAAUUUAAUGUUUUUGUAAACCAGGCAUCAUAUGUGAUAUUACUGGUAGAUUGCAGAAAAGUUGGAUUGAUUGGUCAGUGGCAAGCGGUUGUAUUGGUAAUUAAUGUGUUAUCCUGCGUUCAAUUAUGUCUCUCUGAGUCAGAACUCGGAUGAAAACAUCACGAAACAUCACUUCCCGUUGGAAACAUGCCUCUUUUAUGAUGUUGAUGUCGGACAGAAUUUUCUUGUCCGAGUUUCCCGUGACACAAUUUCAACAUGGCGGGUUACACACUGAACAGUUAUUCUAUUUUAUAAAUCUUCAAAAAUGUUUAUUUUGUUAAAUGUAUUAAUAGUUAUAAAUGUAAUUGCACGUGUUUGAU